CCUACGGGUGGCAGCAGUGGGGAAUAUUGCACAAUGGGGGAAACCCUGAUGCAGCGAUGCCGCGUGGAGGAAGAAGGUUUUCGGAUUGUAAACUCCUUUUAUCAGGGACGAUAAUGACGGUACCUGAAGAAAAAGCUACGGCUAAAUACGUGCCAGCAACCGCGGUAAUACGUAGGGAGCGAAGGUUGUCCGGAAUUAAUGGGUGGAAAGGGGGCGUAGGCGGGUCGGCAAGUCACAUGUGAAAACUGAGGGCUCAACUUUCAGAUUGCAUUGGAAACUGCUGUACUUGAGUGAAGUAGAGGUAAGCGGAAUUCCUAGUGUAGCGGUGAAAUGCGUAGAUAUGAGGAGGAACAUCGGUGGCGAAGGCGGCUUACUGGGCUUUUACUGACGCUGAGGCUCGAAAGCGUGGGGAGCAAACAGGAUUAGAUACCCGGGUAGUC
RNAcentral lists this ribosomal RNA (440 nucleotides) under uncultured bacterium. Its description in RNAcentral is "partial 16S ribosomal RNA". It matches the Rfam family "Bacterial small subunit ribosomal RNA", at positions 338 to 795 of the family's 1533-position model. The record is from RNAcentral.